GAUGAACGCUAGCGGCAGGCCUAAUACAUGCAAGUCGUACGGCAACACAGUUGCGAGCAAUCGCAACCGGUGGCGAGUGGCGCACGGGUGAGUAACGCGUAUGUAACCUACCCUUCUCCGGGACAUAACUCCGCGAAAGCGGUGCUAAUAUCCCAUACCAACUCAUCAAGACAUCUUCUUGAGUUGAAAGCAGCAAUGCGGUGAAGGAUGGGCAUGCGUCCCAUUAGCUGGUUGGUGAGGUAAUGGCCCACCAAGGCUACGAUGGGUAGGGUUCUGAGAGGAAGCCCCCCAACUGGUACUGAGACACGGACCAGACUCCUACGGGAGGCAGCAGUAAGGAAUAUUGGGCAAUGGUCGAAAGACUGACCCAGCCAUGCCGCGUGCAGGAUGAAGGCCCUAUGGGUUGUAAACUGCUUUUAGCCGGGAAUAAACACCCGUUUUAUAACGGGCCCGAAGGUCCGGCUGAAUAAGCAUCGGCUAACUCCGUCCAGC
Molecule: ribosomal RNA, 492 nt
Filed under: uncultured bacterium
Lineage: Bacteria
Description: bacterial SSU rRNA
Rfam family: Bacterial small subunit ribosomal RNA
Source: RNAcentral